RNAcentral lists this ribosomal RNA (422 nucleotides) under uncultured eukaryote. RNAcentral describes it as "bacterial SSU rRNA". It matches the Rfam family "Eukaryotic small subunit ribosomal RNA", at positions 592 to 1016 of the family's 1831-position model. The record is from RNAcentral.
CAAUAGCGUAUAUUAAAGUUGUUGCAGUUAAAAAGCUCGUAGUUGGAUUUCUGGUUGGAGCGACCGGUCGGGCAUUGAUUUGUCUGCACUGGAGUCGGUUCUGGCCAUCCUCUUGGAAAGUGCGUCUGUCAUUAAGUUGUCGGGCGUAUGAUCCAGGUCUUUACUGUGAAAAAAUUAGAGUGUUCAAAGCGGGCGUUUGCUUGAAUAUAUUAGCAUGGAAUAAUGGAAUAGGACCCUGGUCCUAUUUUGUUGGUUUUGAGGACUAGAGUAAUGAUUAAUAGGGAUAGUUGGGGGCAUUCAUAUUUAAUUGUCAGAGGUGAAAUUCUUGGAUUUAUGAAAGAUGAACUUCUGCGAAAGCAUUUGCCAAGGAUGUUUUCAUUAAUCAAGAACGAAAGUUAGGGGAUAGAAGACGAUUAGAUACC